ACACACACACACAUAGACACACACACACACAUAGACACACACACACACAUAGACACACACACACAUAGACACACACACACACAUAGACACACACACACACACAUAGACACACACACACACACAUAGACACACACACACACAUAGACACACACACACAUAGACACACACACACACAUAGACACACACACACAUAGACACACACACACACAUAGACACACACACACACACAUAGACACACACACACACACAUAGACACACACACACAUAGACACACACACACAUAGACACACACACACACACAUAGACACACACACAUAGACACACACACAUAGACACACACACACACAUAGACACACACACACACACAUAGACACACACACACACACAUAGACACACACACACACAUAGACACACACACACACAUAGACACACACACACACAUAGACACACACACAUAGACACACACACAUAGACACACACACAUAGACACACACACGCACACACACACACACGCACACACACACACACACACACAGAGUCAUCCCCCUGAACACCCCGGCAAACUCAACCCCCUCAACAUCCCACCCCACGCCUCCCACACCCG
This 604-nucleotide long non-coding RNA is filed under the name Volvox carteri. RNAcentral's name for it is "long non-coding RNA (VCAR_LNC002936)". The record is from RNAcentral. Lineage: Eukaryota; Viridiplantae; Chlorophyta; Chlorophyceae; Chlamydomonadales; Volvocaceae.